This 492-nucleotide ribosomal RNA is filed under the name uncultured bacterium. RNAcentral's name for it is "partial 16S ribosomal RNA". It matches the Rfam family "Bacterial small subunit ribosomal RNA", at positions 29 to 507 of the family's 1533-position model. The record is from RNAcentral.
AGUGAACGCUGGCGGUAGACCUAACACAUGCAAGUCGAACGGCAGCACAGUAAGAGCUUGCUCUUACGGGUGGCGAGUGGCGGACGGGUGAGGAAUACAUCGGAAUCUACUUUUUCGUGGGGGAUAACGUAGGGAAACUUACGCUAAUACCGCAUACGACCUACGGGUGAAAGCAGGGGAUCUUCGGACCUUGCGCGAUUGAAUGAGCCGAUGUCGGAUUAGCUAGUUGGCGGGGUAAAGGCCCACCAAGGCGACGAUCCGUAGCGGGUCUGAGAGGAUGAUCGGCCACACUGGAACUGAGACACGGUCCAGACUCCUACGGGAGGCAGCAGUGGGGAAUAUUGGACAAUGGGCGCAAGCCUGAUCCAGCCAUACCGCGUGGGUGAAGAAGGCCUUCGGGUUGUAAAGCCCUUUUGUUGGGAAAGAAAAGCAGCAGGUUAAUCCCCCGCUGUUCUGACGGUACCCAAAGAAUAAGCCCCGGCUAACUUCGUG